GAUGAACGCUGGCGGCGUGCCUAAUACAUGCAAGUCGAGCGAACAGACGAGGAGCUUGCUCCUCUGACGUUAGCGGCGGACGGGUGAGUAACACGUGGAUAACCUACCUAUAAGACUGGGAUAACUUCGGGAAACCGGAGCUAAUACCGGAUAAUAUAUUGAACCGCAUGGUUCAAUAGUGAAAGACGGUUUUGCUGUCACUUAUAGAUGGAUCCGCGCCGCAUUAGCUAGUUGGUAAGGUAACGGCUUACCAAGGCAACGAUGCGUAGCCGACCUGAGAGGGUGAUCGGCCACACUGGAACUGAGACACGGUCCAGACUCCUACGGGAGGCAGCAGUAGGGAAUCUUCCGCAAUGGGCGAAAGCCGGACGGAGCAACGCCGCGUGAGUGAUGAAGGUCUUCGGAUCGUAAAGCGCUGUUAUUAGGGAAGAACAAAUGUGUAAGUAACUAUGCACGUCUUGACGGUACCUAAUCAGAAAGCCACGGCUAACUACGUG
Molecule: ribosomal RNA, 497 nt
Filed under: uncultured bacterium
Lineage: Bacteria
Description: partial 16S ribosomal RNA
Rfam family: Bacterial small subunit ribosomal RNA
Source: RNAcentral